CCUGGGUAUUCAUGGAAUUCAGAAACAAUGUACAUGUAUGAUUGCACUAUUAAUAUGCACUGCAACUACGAAAUUUUGUUAUUCCAAAUUCACAAUUGAUUAUGAUAAUCCAAGGUAAUUAGUCCUCCAGUAAUGUGGUCCUCCUUUAAUACAAUUUGUAAGUUUCCUAUUUGUACAAGGCACAAUUUUCUUCUUGUCCAAUUUAAUCAGAACAUCACAUCAUCAUCAUCAUGGAAUAAUGCUGCACGCCAUAUUCAUAAUUUCCAAAAACAAUAGAUAACUAGCAUUAAAUAAUGAAUUAAUCCAUUGUUUC
Molecule: long non-coding RNA, 313 nt
Filed under: Mytilus galloprovincialis (Mediterranean mussel)
Lineage: Eukaryota; Metazoa; Mollusca; Bivalvia; Mytilida; Mytilidae
Source: RNAcentral